This 500-nucleotide ribosomal RNA is filed under the name uncultured bacterium. RNAcentral describes it as "partial 16S ribosomal RNA". It matches the Rfam family "Bacterial small subunit ribosomal RNA", at positions 30 to 523 of the family's 1533-position model. The record is from RNAcentral.
AUUGAACGCUGGCGGAAUGCUUUACACAUGCAAGUCGAACGGCAGCACGGACUUCGAUCUGGUGGCGAGUGGCGAACGGGUGAGUAAUGUAUCGGAACGUGCCCAGUCGUGGGGGAUAACGUAGUGAAAAUUACGCUAAUACCGCAUACGAUCUAUGGAUGAAAGCGGGGGAUCGCAAGACCUCGCGCGAUUGGAGCGGCCGAUAUCAGGUUAGGUAGUUGGUGGGGUAAAGGCCCACCAAGCCAACGAUCUGUAGCUGGGCUGAGAGGACGACCAGCCACACUGGAACUGAGACACGGUCCAGACUCCUACGGGAGGCAGCAGUGGGGAAUUUUGGACAAUGGGCGAAAGCCUGAUCCAGCCAUGCCGCGUGCAGGAUGAAGGCCCUCGGGUUGUAAACUGCUUUUGUACAGAACGAAAAGGUUUCUACUAAUACUAGGAGCUCAUGACGGUACUGUAAGAAUAAGCACCGGCUAACAACGUGCCAGCCGCCGCAGUAA